This 77-nucleotide transfer RNA is filed under the name Pseudobdellovibrionaceae bacterium. RNAcentral describes it as "Bdellovibrionaceae bacterium tRNA-Trp". It matches the Rfam family "tRNA". From Rfam's summary of the family: Transfer RNA (tRNA) molecules are approximately 80 nucleotides in length. Their secondary structure includes four short double-helical elements and three loops (D, anti-codon, and T loops). The record is from RNAcentral. Lineage: Bacteria; Pseudomonadati; Bdellovibrionota; Bdellovibrionia; Bdellovibrionales; Pseudobdellovibrionaceae.
AGGGCAGUAGCUCUAAUUGGUAGAGCGAAUGACUCCAAAUCAUUAGGUUGGGGGUUCGAAUCCCUCCUGCCCUGCCA